CAAGAGACCAAAGCAGAGACAAUAAUACUGUUAUUGUACUCAAGUAUUUUCUAAUUAAUUCUAAGUAAUUUCACUUUUUGUUUUUAAUCCAGCUCAGUUUUAGUUAGUGCAGUGACAGUUUGCUUGUUUCAGUUUCAUAUUUCAGUUUUGAAAAUGUUUAGUAGUUUACAGGGUUCAUAACUACGCUGAUAAUGAGCCUCAUCCUCCUUUUGUUCGGACUUUUCCAUGGUCAUCCACCCGCGUGUACACAUUACAUCAGAAGAGACACCACAACACAGAGUUAACACUGCAUUACAAUAAGAAAAAAAGACCUGGUGCUGAAAAAACCCCGGAGGGAAUAAGAUUAGUGCUGUUAAAGUCAAUGAGCUGUCAAAAUAGGCUAGAUGUUCUGCAGACCCUGUUCACACAACAUAGCUGACUGAAGAAAAAUGUAAAAUAUUAUUUACCUUACCAUAAACUGACUUUAAUAUUGUUUAAUUUGAUUUUAAAUAAUAUGCUCAACUGUGUGCCAAAACUGGGGAUCAAGCUGUAACGUAACUACAAUUCAACUCAUGAGUCUUACUCUAAUCGGUGUAAUGUUUUCUAACUUGCAGACCCAAAAAAGGCUAUGUUAGCUUAACUUUAACAGCAAUGAGUAAAGGAAUUGGGGGUCGGACCCUUCGUGUUUUCAGCCUAAGAGAGAUAUCAAGGCACAGAUAACUUAACCACCUCAACUGCUAUGCCAAAAUAAAUCCUUCAGGGUUUUAUUUAUGUUGUUUUUAGCCUGUUUGAGCUUCAGUCAAUAUUAGCUAAUAUGCCUGUUAGCUAAUGCACUAUAAGCUAACAGGAAGUUCGUAGGAUUCAGUGCAGGUCAUCUACCCCCGAGCAGGACAACCAGAAUGUCCCCAGGGUGUAAUUACAGACAACCCCAGUAAGGAAUGUAGUGAAAGUUCCCAAGAGGUUAAAAACACCACUGAAAAUAUGCCAUCAGACCUGAGUUGGGACACUUGGAUUAUGGAGCUUCUGGACCAAGAGAGUGGAUGGGAGCAUGUGUUUAACAAUAGCGUAGUGAAACAUUUGGGCGGUGGAUAAAUAAUGGAAAAUAAAAUUCAGACCAGAGACGGCUUCAGGUUUCCAUACAUCGGAAACAGCUGCUGCAUCUGUAAUUCUGUCCAUCCUGAGGAGAGUCCACACUCUACAUCAGAUCCUUGGCUCACCUAUAAUGAUGCACAGGUGCUGCACACAACUGGAUCUGCAGCUUGUGAGGAACAGCAGCACUCAGCCUACAUCCUGUUUUACAAGAUUAACACACCCUUCAGUUUCAUCAUGUCAUCCCUAACAAUAGCUGUAGAGUUGGAUGGAGGAUGAAGACAGCAGAGAGCAAAAGAAACAGGUAAGAGCAGACAGGUAGUCAGAGUUAACAAAAACUUUUAAAGCCAGUGUAGCUUCGGUUUUGAACACAUUUAUUGAUGACAAUUUUACAUAAAUAAGCAGUGUGUUAUACUGUUAUCAGAUGUGGAGUCUCACUAACCACUUUAAUAGUGACUUGUGUCCCAAAUACUGUUUAUUUGUCUUAGUUACAGAUAGUGAAAUAAAA
Haplochromis burtoni (Burton's mouthbrooder) is the source of this 1576-nucleotide long non-coding RNA. RefSeq lists it as uncharacterized. The record is from RefSeq and is a predicted model, not a curated record. Lineage: Eukaryota; Metazoa; Chordata; Actinopteri; Cichliformes; Cichlidae. The transcript has 5 exons.